This is a long non-coding RNA of Helianthus annuus (common sunflower), 2703 nucleotides long. RefSeq lists it as uncharacterized. The record is from RefSeq and is a predicted model, not a curated record. The transcript has 13 exons. NCBI's taxonomy places the organism in Eukaryota, Viridiplantae, Streptophyta, Magnoliopsida, Asterales, Asteraceae.
CCUGAAUUUUGGAAACUAAUCAAUUCUCUCAAUCAAUUGAAAUCAUUCUCCUCUCAAAGCCUAAAUCAUUCUUUCAACCGUUUCUCUCUGGCUUCACUCUACAUCCUCUUCAAAUCAAACUUGGAUCCAUAGAUUAUUUUCAAUGAAGAAUCUAACUGAUGUUGGUAAUCAUAUUCAAAGUUUCUCUCUGGCUUCACUUCUACAUCCUCUUUUUCUUCCUCAUCUUCUACAUCAUCAAAACCUAACAUCUUCAUCUUCAACUGUAUAAGCAGGUAUGUAGGUUUUCUGUUUUCACACCAAUCAAAAAACCCUAAACCUUUAUCUUUCUUCUUCAAUCGCAAGACAAAGACUUUCCUAAAACCUACUAAUUCACUUCCAGAAUCCGUACUCAAUAUUGAUUUCAUAUUCGUUUUUCAUCAAGAGCAAUGGUUCCAGGCUUUCUGAAGAUUAUUUUGUAUGCUUCUACGUCAUAUCUAUAUCUGCUAUCGCCCCCCUUUUACAAUAACGUGGAUGGUCGACAGUUGUUAGAGAUCUUGGUGUUGAAAACACAUAUUUUGUUCUUUUUAACGUCGUUGUUGAUAACACAUUUGAAAUCAUGCAUUUCAAGGUUGACCAUGAAUCGGAUGUCAAAGAUAAGUUUUGUCAUAUAACGAUGAUUCCAGAAGCAAAAAAUCUGUGGUUGCCAACAAAGUUCAUGGACCAUAGUUUCAAUGAUGAACUUUUACAACAUCAUGUCACGAUUCGUUUCAGGCCUAAUCAACACUGCAUUGUUUCGGGCCUAAAACAAUCAAGUAUGGCCUAAAACAAAAGUUUCAAACGGAAUACCGAAGCGAAUAUCUAACCGCCUAUUGAUCGCCGGAUCUUCCACUAUAGGGUUUCAGGGAUUUUGAGUGAAGGAGUUGAUUUCGCAGCGUUUACGAUUUCAAACUAACCAGGUCAAAGGUCAAAGUCUGGUGCUGCCUUUUACCAUCAACCAUGUACCACACAAGUAUUGCUUAUUAUUUGUUCAUGUACCAGUUCAUUCUAGAAUGUCAAUGAUCAACAUUUUCCUGGAAGACAAGGCUUUUGAAGUUAAAAGAGAUCCUACACUGAAUCUUCUCACCAACAGCAAGAACAGGAGUAACCUGAGCUCCAAUCAGAAUCCAAGGACUUAUCUUUUAGCUUUCAAAGUUGUUAUCAGCUGGCGUUAGUUGCUGUUACUCUAUUCAGUUCCUAUAUGAAGUUUUUCGGCUCAUGACAAGAUGCAAGGGUUAGCUUUGUGUGUUUCACAGUGUGACAAAUUUUGUGGUCUUGCUUCUUCAAUUCGGUUGCUUGCGUUGGCAUAUGUAUAUAAUAAACACAAUGCAUGGGAGCAGUUCUAUGUUUACUGGAAAUGUGGUGUUGAAGAUAAUGACUAUAUGGUAUUUAAAGUUGUUGAUGUUAAAACUUUUGAGGUUACUCAUUUUAAACUUGACCGUGAAGCCGAGGUGAAAAACAAGUUUUACCAUAUCCUCAUACAUCCAAAAUUAAAAAGAUAUGGUAACAUUUUAACUAUUUUAUUAUGUUUUGUGUCAACUUUCUUUUUCAUGGUUUAUAAACUUUUAAUAACUAAUUCGUCGUCAUGAUAUGUUAUGCUUUAUCUUGGAAAUGUUAUCUAGGGAAGCGCAAAUGAUACCGAGUACCGAUUCGGAACCGGUACCGAAUUUACCAAACCGACUAGAUUUUCAGUACCGAUUCGGUACCGAAAUUUGUGGUUUUGGUACCGGUACCCAUUUUUUGAGAUUUUCAAUACCGCUAUUUUCGGUACCGGUUGGUACCGAGCUCAUCCCUGCCAUCCACUAUACUUAAGUGGUUGAACGAUUGCCUUUUUCACUGUUUUAGGGUAAUUGCUAUAAAUGGCUUUUUUUUUUCUCAAGUUCCUUUUUUUCUAAACACAAGGUUUUGGUUUUCUUUGUCUUCACUACCACCCCCCACAACAACACCAGCAAUUACCUUUCCUCUUACAACACCAACUCUGUCAAGGCAAACCCAGCUAAAGGCCAAGGUGAAUUUUCGUUUUAUAGGAUAACAUAAAUUGAAUAGCACUAAAAUUACAGUAGUAAAAAAAACAGUUAUAUAUGAAUGGGUCAAUUUUGAUAAUCUGUUAUCAAUUGCCAAACUUGAUUUAUAAGCAAUUUUUACCUUCUAAGCAAUUGCCUAACGUUAUUUAGACUUAAAACUUUAGUCUUAUGCAGAUUUGGGGGUUGCCAAUGCCAAAUGACUAUCACUUCUAGCGUUUAUUUAUUUCUAACGUAUUCAGGCGAGACGUCUGGUAUGACUGUUACAUUUGUUAUGAUUGAUCAUAGGCUUGAAGAUAAUGUUGAAGAAAGGGAAUAUGCAACUACAAGUGGUGGUCAAGUAUGGUGCUCUUAAUAUCUCUAGAGGAAAUUAGGUUGGUCCACUUUGUUGUUGGUCUGACGGAUUGUGCCUCUCAAUGUAACGGGCUAGCUUAUUUGGUUACCCUAAGGACUCAGAACUUUAAUAGAGAUAAGGAAAUGAUGGAAAAGGAGGUGGGAGAGCAUGUUAAAAUGAUUACAACUAAGCAUAAACGAACCAAGUGGAGGCUAAUGAUCAGGAGUAAAAUCCCAAAGAACAGGAUGCCUCAAAUGUACAAUGGUGAAUUUUCUGCAACAACCUUUGUUUUGAAAUUCUUACAUCGAUCGCCAACAUUCGGAGUGCAUUUUU